Molecule: RNA transcript, 4761 nt
Organism: Leptopilina heterotoma
Lineage: Eukaryota; Metazoa; Arthropoda; Insecta; Hymenoptera; Figitidae
Gene: jvl
Exons: 6
Source: RefSeq, a predicted model, not a curated record
CGUCGAGUUGUUCACCGAAGAGUUUGAAGAAUGAUCCACAAGAGGGAACUCGGAUCGUCAAAGUGUUGUUCUUGGCGAUGGUUGUGGUGCUAUGUCGUCACGCAUAUCUUGCAAACAUGCAAUCGGGCAGCCGUCGACAGUCGGCAUUUGCCAGUAGACGCGAAUGGUAGUCCGUGUGGAUUGGUGUGAGUGAGUCAUGGAACUCACAAAAUUAAAAUGGCGUAGCCACUAGAUCAUGUCGCAAUCUCAUUGGUCUUUUAUUCAAAACAUUAAAAAUUCCAACUAUGUUUCUCGUGUCCUGAUCGUUGACAAUAAAUCAAUAAUCAACGAUUUGUCCAGUGUUAUUAUUUUUGGAUUAACUCCCAUCGAAACAAUGAGUGUAAACUAAAUAUAUUAUGUGUUUGUGGGUAGUGUGUGUGUGUGUAUGUGCCAGUGAGAGUGAGUGAGUGUACAGUGUGAAACAAUCAUGAUAAUUUUGACAGCGAUUAUUUAAAUCCAACAAAGUUACUUGUUAGAAAUAAUAUUUUAAUUGUCUACAUUUGUUAAAUGGUUUUUUUACUUUCUGUUCAUGUUGAUGUAAUGAUAUUUUUUUUUGGGCGCGAUCACACUAAAUAAUCAGCCUCAUGACAGCUUGACGAUCUUGCAAUGAGUCAAGAUGGCGCCACCGGCCUUUUGACAUAUCCACUUGAUUAUCAGCUGGAUUUCACAGCCUUUCUGGAUUAUUUUUGAUAUAUUAUGAGCAGAGAAUUUUACGUACCUUGCACGCCUUACGCAUAUUCGGUGAGUUCUCAUUUUUCAACUACUGAUACUCUAUCUCAGUGUGGCAGUGGAACGACUGAUGGCGUUGUGGUGAGUGCUGGUGGUGGUAUGGAUUGCAUACCCCUGCGUCCUGGGCCGUUUCACUACUUGAUCAACGAGCAGGCCAAGUCCCUGGUGGCACUCCAGGAGCUGCAGAAUGAGGUCGGUGCUCUUCUCGAGUUUCGGGACCUCGUCAUCGAGACUUUCCCAAACCUCAGGCACAAGAUGGCGGUCUCGGUGGCAAAUUCCAGCUCGGCGAAUGCAUCCGUGAUGUCCUCGACGCAGAGUUCUCACAUUCCCUUACCAUUGUCAAGUCCAUCGUCACGUAGAAUAAGCGAUUGGGACCCUGGAAAAGUAAGACGACGCGCGCCAAGAGAAGGCGAAACUUCAGCUACUUCUUCAUUACCAAGAAGUCGUAGCAAUUCCCACAGUGGAGGCAAUAAGAACAGCGCGACCGUUCAGGAUUCUGGCUUCAGUACGGAGACUUCUUCUAAGGAUAGCGCCUCUACGGCGAUACCAAGACCACCUAGUCCACGUCCAGUUUUAGAUGAGGCUGAAGACGAAUUAUGGAAUCUCCUGGAUGUUAUUCAUCGAAAGGGUAUAAGACUCAGAGAGGAGGUUGAGAGUCUUCAGGGUCGUUUAGAGAGUGUUGCUUCAGAGGACUUUGGUCUUUCGGGUGAUGUUUUAGAGGCUGUGAAAAGAGUCACUGGAUCUGAUGAUGAUGACAUCGAUAGGGUUACGUGUGAGAAGGACACCGAGGUUGCUGAGUUACAGAGGGAGAAAUUGCAACUCUUGGAUAAAGUUGCUGAACUUGAGGCGGAGACGAUAUCGAGUCGGGCUAGAGCUCAGGAACUUCAGUCAGAAUUGUCGGCUCUCUCGGCUAUUAGAACUGGUUUAGAGGAUCAUCUACGUGCUGGGACUUUAGAUGGAUCUUACGCGAUUCAUGCGCCUGGUGCGCAGAGGAUACAACCAAUUUCACCUGUCAUCACGACUUCAUCCCCUAAGAGUAACAUUAAUAUCAGGAGCAAGGGAUCCGCUUUUGCCUCUGUGCUACCCACGAAAACUCAGAAAAAUAGGUUUAGAACAAGGACUAUAGAGAAAAAUGUGGUGGCCAAUGUGGUUACCAGGUCUAUUGAGGACUUGAAUGUAGAAGCUAAUGUUAACGAUAGGAGAGCAAGACUGGGAGCACUGGAUUCCGUGCUCAUUUCACCUACUAGGGUGGCUAACGUAAGAGAAGUCGAUUCCAAGAAAAUCGCCGCUAUUCUUAGGGAGCAUUCGCCUCUUGAACUCCAGCGGCACCUUAUCACCACAACCGUCCAUAAUCAGGCCUUACAAAAGAGACUGGACGAAGUUGAGAAAAGUACUGAAACACUCUCGGUAAGAUUAGACAAAGCCCGGGAGGAAAACGACGAUCUUAGAUUUCAACUGGCGGAACGAAACAUCGAAUUGGAGGGAACGCGAGCCAGAGUACGAGUUCUGGAGCGUUUUCAACAGCGUCCGUCCACGGAAGGUGAUUCAAAUACCGAAACAGAAUCAGAGUUGCCAAGAUGCGAGCAGAACUGUCCUGAGCCUGGAAGUAGUACAGAAUCUUCUCGCGAUCAUCAUCAAGCCGUCGAAGUAAAGCCAUCGCCACGUAGGCGACCUAGUCGAAUUCCUUUACUUGGUGUCGCCAAAGCGAAUGCACCAAAACCACCAACAACAACAACACACGCUAGAAACGACAGUAGAGAAUCAUUAAAAUCACUUACCAUCACACGAGCGACGAGGGACUCUAGUCGUGACAGUAUGACGGGAAAACCCAUCUCCAAAACGCGUGACAAUAGUCGCGAAUCCCUCAACAAGAGUCUAUCAAAAACAACCGAAAGAACUAAUGGAUCCGCAAAGGAAACUGGCAAAGAUUCUCUCAAUAAAUCAUUGCCACGUAAUAAUUCCAAUAAAGAUUCAUUGAGCAAGACGUCAAUUCUUUCAAGGACAAGGGACUCAUUGGAGUCGAAUCAUCUCGGGAGUUCAUCUCCUGUGACUCCCCCACGUCGACCAUCAGCUCCUGCUCGUCGAUCUCACAGUUUGGCGCGAACCACAGUUGAUAACGACACCGGCAAGGUACGGUCAACAAAGCUAUCCUUUUGGCAGCUGCUGAAGUCACCUCUCUCCAACGGUUCGACCUAGUGCGACAUACAAACAAAAAAUUCAUAAAUAAAUAAAAAAACCAAUCGUCCUUUCUCUUUAGGGAUAUAAUAGUCGCUUCUAACUUUUAAGCUGAACGUACAAUUGUCCAUCCAGGGUCAGCCAAUAAAACUCACAACCACUACUGACACUCUUCCUUUCGCAGAGCGAGAUUUCUAAAUUACGUUCUUUCCUGAUAGUGGAUUUCUUCAAAAAGGGUUAGAAUACUCCUCCAAAACUGUUUGGUGUUCGACUGGAAAUGUUGCAGGCUGGGUGACGAAUGACCGUUAUCGUCACCUGGUGGGUACUCCAGUGUUACCACCCCUCUUUUAUAGCAACAAGUAUUUCAAGAUAUUCUAUUCACCCCCACGAAUGAAAAAGAAUUUUACGUUUGCAAUCCUUCUGCUUUGGCUUUAAAUUCUUUUUCUAUCUUCUGGACGAAGAUAGGAAAAUAAUUUAAAGCCAAAGCAGAAGGAUUGCAAACGUAAAAUUCUUUUUCAUUCGUGAUGGAGGGUUGGCAACACUGAAAAUUUCCAGGGAAUCCCCUGCAAAAAUAAGUAUUCUUGCAGGGGAUUCCCUGAGGAAUUUUGUGAUUCCCCUUGUUUCGUCUCACUCUCAUCUAUGUAGAGAUAGUGAGUCGAAAGUGGCGCCAAUUCGAACUAAUGUCCGCUGGUCAACUAAUAGAUCACUUAACCUCUAAUUCGUCCACUUUAUUUCUUUUCUAAAAUCGUUUUCUUGAUAAAUUACUGUGAACAACGAGAGGAAUCAACUAAUAAUUAUUAAUGUUUAUGUUGACCAGUAAUUAUUGGCUAAUGUUAAUAAUAACCAUUAAUUAAUGGAUAAUAUUAAUAUUAAUCAUCGUUACCUUAAAGUUUUUAAAUGCAAUUGUCUGAUUUUCAGUCGAAUAUUAAAGCAGAACUUUGGGAAUUAUUAUUUUGUGAUAAUAGAACCAAAUUAGAAUUUUUUUUUCGUCAAUAAAUGAGGAAAUCCGCUAUUAGGAAAUACGAUCUCUGGAUUAAGGUCUCUUCUCUGCUUUACGUUACUACUAGUUACUACUCGCUCCACUGCCCUUCUUGUUACCAGUGCCUUUAGAACGGAGGAAUUGUGAUUCUACGCUCGACAUUUUUCUUCUCACUUUGACUCGACUCGACGCACACGUAAAUUUGUUACCAUCUUUUUUUUCUAGACUUGGUGCAAAUAGAGAAAAAUCUAAAAUUUAAUUUAAUGCUUCUUCAUAAAUAUAUAAUUUUGCCUAAUUUUCAAUUUGUCGUUAAAGUCCAUUUUGUGAAUUUUUUUUUUCUUUUUGAAUACACGCACAAAAAUUUGUAGAAAAGUCAAUGAGAAAUCUUCACUGCACCAGGCUAGUUUUUUUUUAUACACUGUGUAGGCGUUAUGAUAAUAUUGAAAGAGAGGAGAAAAUAACUUGGAAAUGUAAUUUCAUAAUCGACAAAAAAAAUGACAAUUGUACUGCACAAAUAAGAAAAAAAUAGAUUAGACGGACGUUUCAAUAAUUUUUUUUUUCUAAACUAAAAGUAAAAAAAACGACUACGAUCCACUACGAAAAAGUCUAAACUGGAGCGCAGGCGAGUGUGCGUUCGAGAGUCCAUCAUGGCCAAGAAAUUAUGAAAAUGGCCCCUUCUCGCGUUCUUCGUCGGUCUCUCGCCUAUUCCGAUGCACCAGAUUCAUGGUGUUCGAGUAGCGGCAGUUUUCAUCGUAGCGAAUUUUCUUUAUAUCCGGAUUCAUUAAAUCAGGAAACAUCAUCGGUAACUGGUUCUACGCGAGUGGAAUUUAUCAUUGGAU